RNAcentral lists this non-coding RNA (26 nucleotides) under Cricetulus griseus (Chinese hamster). The record is from RNAcentral. Lineage: Eukaryota; Metazoa; Chordata; Mammalia; Rodentia; Cricetidae.
GAGUGAAUUGAGAACCUGACCUCAUU